This 448-nucleotide ribosomal RNA is filed under the name uncultured bacterium. RNAcentral's name for it is "partial 16S ribosomal RNA". It matches the Rfam family "Bacterial small subunit ribosomal RNA", at positions 29 to 523 of the family's 1533-position model. The record is from RNAcentral.
AAUGAACGCUGGCGGCAGGCCUAACACAUGCAAGUCGAACGGAUCCUUCGGGAUUAGUGGCGGACGGGUGAGUAACGCGUGGGAACAUACCCUUUGGUACGGAAUAGCCUCGGGAAACUGGGAGUAAUACCGUAUGUGGUCGAGAGACGAAAGAUUUAUCGCCAAAGGAUUGGCCCGCGUUGGAUUAGGUAGUUGGUGGGGAAUGGCCUACCAAGCCGACGAUCCAUAGCUGGUUUGAGAGGAUGAGCCGCCACACUGGGACUGAGACACGGCCCAGACUCCUACGGGAGGCAGCAGUGGGGAAUCUUAGACAAUGGGGGAAACCCUGAUCUAGCCAUGCCGCGUGAUCGGUGAAGGCCUUAGGGUUGUAAAGAUCCUUCAGGUGGGAAGAUAAUGACUGUACCACCAGAAGAAGCCCCGGCUAACUCCGUGUCAGCAGCCGCCGUAA